RNAcentral lists this ribosomal RNA (293 nucleotides) under uncultured bacterium. RNAcentral's name for it is "partial 16S ribosomal RNA". It matches the Rfam family "Bacterial small subunit ribosomal RNA", at positions 775 to 1067 of the family's 1533-position model. The record is from RNAcentral.
GGAUUAGAUACCCUGGUAGUCCACGCCCUAAACGAUGAGUGCUAGAUGUGGGGAAUUAAUCUCCGUGUCGCAGCUAACGCGUUAAGCACUCCGCCUGAGUAGUACGGUCGCAAGACUAAAACUUAAAGGAAUUGACGGGGGCCCGCACAAGCGGUGGAGCAUGUGGUUUAAUUCGAUAAUCCGCGAAAAACCUUACCAGCCUUUGACAUGGAAGUCGCGAGAUAUGGAGACAUAUCUCUUCGGUUCGGCCGGACUUCACACAGGUGAUGCAUGGCUGUCGUCAGCUCGUGCCG